Gadus macrocephalus (Pacific cod) is the source of this 630-nucleotide long non-coding RNA. RefSeq lists it as uncharacterized. NCBI's taxonomy places the organism in Eukaryota, Metazoa, Chordata, Actinopteri, Gadiformes, Gadidae. The record is from RefSeq and is a predicted model, not a curated record. The transcript is spliced from 3 exons.
CUGAACAUUUGGCCGGAUUACACAUAGAAAUGCAAUCCAAAACAAAAUGGGUAAAGAUAAAGCAUGUUUAUUGAUGCGGCAAACAAAGGUUCAAAUAUCCUCCAAAGCACUUCAAGCCCUCAAAGAAUGAAACUCAAAACGCAGAUGAGGUAAAAGAAGAAACUUCUAAAUUAAAGUGGAGCGACCCAGGGACAAGUCUGGUUUGGGUUAAAGAUUAUGGAUGGUUAACUUUGUGUAACGUGUUUGGACAAGCAAGUUUAGGUUUUAGGCAAGCGACUUCAGGUAUUAGGCAAGCGACUUCAGGUAUUAGGCAAGCGACUUCAGGUAUUAGGCAAGCGAGUUUAGCCAAGCGAGUACAGGCAAGCGAGUCAAGCUAAGCGAGUUUAGGUUUUAUGCAAGCGAGUUUAGGUAAGAGAGUCAAGUUACUUUAGGCCUCACUUUAUUUGCGGUUAAAUUGCGGCAUUAGGUUUAGAAAGAAGGUUAAGAUCCAGGCUCAGGUUUGCUUCCAGCCUUGUCCCUCUAGUCGCUCCCUAUAAAGAGGGUUCCCAGCUACCGUGUUAAAAUACAACAGCUGGGAUUACAGAUAUGGAGUACAGAAAUAAAUGACAAAGAUUGAUUCAAACAUUCUUC